AUUAUACGGCGAAACUGCGAAUGGCUCAUUAAAUCAGUUAUCGUUUAUUUGAUAGUACCUUACUACUUGGAUAACCGUGGUAAUUCUAGAGCUAAUACAUGCUGAAAACCCCGACUUCGGAAGGGAUGUAUUUAUUAGAUUAAAAACCAAUGCCCUUCGGGGCUCCCUGGUGAUUCAUGAUAACUUCUCGAAUCGCACGGCCUUGCGCCGGCGAUGGUCAUUCAAAUUUCUGCCCUAUCAACUUUCGACGGCUGGAUCUGGGCCAGCCAUGGUGACAACGGGUAACGGAGGGUUAGGGCUCGACCCCGGAGAAGGAGCCUGAGAAACGGCUACUACAUCCAAGGAAGGCAGCAGGCGCGCAAAUUACCCAAUCCCGACUCGGGGAGGUAGUGACAAUAAAUACUGAUACAGGGCUCUUUUGGGUCUUGUAAUUGGAAUGAGUACAAUUUAAUUCCCUUAACGAGGAACAAUUGGAGGGCAAGUCUGGUGCCAGCAGCCGCGGUAAUUCCAGCUCCAAUAGCGUAUAUUAAAGUUGUUGCAGUUAAAAAGCUCGUAGUUGAACCUUGGGCCUGGCUGGCCGGUCCGCCUCACCGCGUGCACUGGCUCGGCCGGGCCUUUCCCUCUGGGGAGCCGCAUGCCCUUCACUGGGCGUGCCGGGGAACCAGGACUUUUACUUUGAAAAAAUUAGAGUGUUCAAAGCAGGCUUAUGCUCGGAUACAUUAGCAUGGAAUAAUAGAAUAGGACGUGCGGUUCUAUUUUGUUGGUUUCUAGGACCGCCGUAAUGAUUAAUAGGGACAGUCGGGGGCAUCAGUAUUCAAUUGUCAGAGGUGAAAUUCUUGGAUUUAUUGAAGACUAACUACUGCGAAAGCAUUUGCCAAGGAUGUUUUCAUUAAUCAGGAACGAAAGUUAGGGGAUCGAAGACGAUCAGAUACCGUCGUAGUCUUAACCAUAAACUAUGCCGACUAGGGAUCGGACGAUGUUAUUUUUUGACUCGUUCGGCACCUUACACGAAAGUACAAGUUUCUGGGUUCUGGGGGGAGUAUGGUCGCAAGGCUGAAACUUAAAGAAAUUGACGGAAGGGCACCACCAGGGGUGGAGCCUGCGGCUUAAUUUGACUCAACACGGGGAAACUCACCAGGUCCAGACACGAUGAGGAUUGACAGAUUGAGAGCUCUUUCUUGAUUUCGUGGGUGGUGGUGCAUGGCCGUUCUUAGUUGGUGGAGUGAUUUGUCUGCCUAAUCGCGAUAACGAACGAGACCUUAACCUGCUAAAUAGCCCGCGUUGCUUUCGCAGCGCGCCGGCUUCUUAGAGGGACUAUCGGCUCAAGCCGAUGGAAGUU
This 1339-nucleotide ribosomal RNA is filed under the name Ophiostoma araucariae. Its description in RNAcentral is "SSU rRNA". It matches the Rfam family "Eukaryotic small subunit ribosomal RNA", at positions 73 to 1445 of the family's 1831-position model. Lineage: Eukaryota; Fungi; Ascomycota; Sordariomycetes; Ophiostomatales; Ophiostomataceae. The record is from RNAcentral.